Molecule: transfer RNA, 69 nt
Filed under: Hylomys suillus microtinus
Lineage: Eukaryota; Metazoa; Chordata; Mammalia; Eulipotyphla; Erinaceidae
Description: tRNA-Phe
Rfam family: tRNA
About the family: Transfer RNA (tRNA) molecules are approximately 80 nucleotides in length. Their secondary structure includes four short double-helical elements and three loops (D, anti-codon, and T loops).
Source: RNAcentral
GUUUACGUAGCUUAUUAUUUAAAGCAAAGCACUGAAAAUGCUUAGAAGGAUACUUCUCUAUCCCGAAAA